ACCUGGUUAGCUCAGUUGGUUAGAGCGCGCGGCCUGCUGUCUUUACAGCGUCACACGUGCUGCGAGGUCGCAGGUUCAACUCCUGCCCCAGGUACCA
Molecule: transfer RNA, 97 nt
Filed under: Pseudomonas fulva
Lineage: Bacteria; Pseudomonadati; Pseudomonadota; Gammaproteobacteria; Pseudomonadales; Pseudomonadaceae
Description: tRNA-Ser
Rfam family: tRNA
About the family: Transfer RNA (tRNA) molecules are approximately 80 nucleotides in length. Their secondary structure includes four short double-helical elements and three loops (D, anti-codon, and T loops).
Source: RNAcentral